Molecule: non-coding RNA, 1034 nt
Organism: Castor canadensis (American beaver)
Lineage: Eukaryota; Metazoa; Chordata; Mammalia; Rodentia; Castoridae
Source: RefSeq, a predicted model, not a curated record
AAAUGAUCUUCCUGCUUCAAGCCUCCUGAGUAGCUGGGACUACAGCCAAGCUCUAUUCCAGGAAGUGAAAAUGUGCCCAGAGAGCCCCUGAUUGCCACAGCAGUGAAGUUUCUACAGAAUUCCCGGGUCCGCCAGAGCCCACUUGCAACCAGGAGAGCGUUUCUUAAGAAGAAAGGUACGGGUUCCUAUCCUACGGCCAGUGCAGAGUAGCCUGUGAAAUCAUAGUGCAGGAGGCAGGUUCUCAGUAUGUCAAGGAUCCCCUAUAGGCUGUCCACUUUUGUAGGUAUGGGAAACGGGACUGAGGUGAUUCCUCGAGGGGAAUGCAGGUUGCUUUCCUAACAAUGGAGCCAAAGGAUUACACAGUUGGGCUAAUUAAGCUCUACAUAUAAGGUGAAGGGCAUCAUGGCAAAGGCAGUGUUCAGUAGCAAAAGUGGCCCAUUGAAUAGGACUGUGGAGGACUUCUGCUUUCUCAUCUGUUCUGUCACUGACCCUGGCUGCAGAAUGACCUGCUUUAGGUGAGGAGACUGGCUGCUUCAGUAAAGAAUGAGGAAGAAAGGAGUGAAAGGCAAGGGAAAUGAGAUAAAUAAACAAGGUCAGGUUAGGUCAAGCGUGGGGUAAGUCUGAUUUAGGGAUAGAAGUGGUAAAUUAUUGGCUUUAUGGUAUUUCUGUAAGCAAGGAUAAAGUGGAUCCUGACAAAUUCAGUAUUUUCUGAAGCAGACAGAAUAUAUUCUGGUUCUGUUGGAAUUUAGGAUGUUUUUCUUCUUUUUUGAAAUGAAAACAACCAGUUAAACCAAAAAAGAAACUGGACCUUUUAUUUUUUGAGCAUUUAAUUUUCUAGAAAUCUAGGAAUGUGUUUAAAGGCUUUUAUGUAACAUGAAGGGAGAAAAGUGUCUCCUUCUCCCAAAAGCACAGCUCUUUUUUUUUUUCUUUAAAAGCUGGAAUGUUGGCCUCAGAAUUCUGGUGUCUCAGUCAGUUUUGGCUAAAGUAGACAAUAGAAUGUUUUGGUGGCAUUUCCUAGGGCUGCUUUGUGAUAU